RNAcentral lists this non-coding RNA (51 nucleotides) under Palpitomonas bilix. The record is from RNAcentral.
ACAGUGGCUGGUUUGAGAACAACGGAUGUGAGGGUGGCAUGCUCGGCACUG